RNAcentral lists this long non-coding RNA (876 nucleotides) under Homo sapiens (human). Its description in RNAcentral is "non-protein coding lnc-C5orf38-1:2". The record is from RNAcentral. Lineage: Eukaryota; Metazoa; Chordata; Mammalia; Primates; Hominidae.
CUCACUUCGAGGCGUUCUUCCACUACCGGUCCAAUGUUCCUAGAAGGCAAUGCAAUUUGUGGACAAGCCCAUGAAACCCAAAGGUGAAAAAGGGAAACAGGUUUACACAGACAGCCCUUCCUGCCACGUCUCCAGACAUUCCUGCUGGAAUCUAAUCACCUUUGUCUUUAACCAGGCUUCCUGCCCACAUCUUACCAGUUCUGUUCUAGCAGCAAAGUUUGCUUUACUUUCCUGAGGAUACGCACGUGCACCCUGGAUCUCAUCUCCACAUGCAGGGUGGUGGGUCCCUUCCAUUUCUAUUUCCUGGCUCAUCACCUGUCUUCAUGCUUGGGACUACCUUUCUGUUGAAGGCCCACCUAUGGCUUCCCAUGGACCAAUCAGCACGUACUUCCUCACUUCUGAAUCCAUAAAAAUCCCUGACUCAGCUAGACUCCAUGCUCUUUGGGACGACCUGACUGCAGAUAGGAGCCACCCACUUCAGGAUUCCUCUACUUUGUUUGAGAUGACCUGCCUGUGGAUAGGAGCUACCCAUUUCUGGUCUCCUCUACACUCUUCAGGACAACCUGUCCACACAUAGCAGCUACCCACAUCGGGACUUCUCUAUAUUCUUCAGGAAAACCUGCACAUGGAUUGGAGCUACCCACAUUGGGAGUCCUCUACAUUCUUCAGGAUGACCUGCCUGUGGAGAGGAGUUACCCAUUUCAAGUCUCUACACUCUUAGGGAUGACUGCCCACAGAUGGGAGCUAUCCACUUCAAGUCUCCUCUAUACUCUUCAGGACAACCUGCCUGUGGAUAGGAGCUACCCACUUCAGGAUGCCUCUAAACUCUCUGGAUGAUCUGCCUGUAGAUAGCAGCUACCCACUUCAAGACUUUUC